UUUGAGUUUGAUCCUGGCUCAGGACGAACGCUGGCGGCGUGCUUAACACAUGCAAGUCGAACGAUGAAGAGGAGCUUGCUCCUUGGAUUAGUGGCGAACGGGUGAGUAACACGUGAGCAAUCUGCCCUUGACUCUGGGAUAAGCGUUGGAAACGACGUCUAAUACCGGAUACGACCCUCGGAGGCAUCUCCUGGGGGUGGAAAGAAUUUUGGUCAAGGAUGAGCUCGCGGCCUAUCAGCUUGUUGGUGAGGUAAUGGCUCACCAAGGCGACGACGGGUAGCCGGCCUGAGAGGGUGACCGGCCACACUGGGACUGAGACACGGCCCAGACUCCUACGGGAGGCAGCAGUGGGGAAUAUUGCACAAUGGGCGAAAGCCUGAUGCAGCAACGCCGCGUGAGGGACGACGGCCUUCGGGUUGUAAACCUCUUUUAGUAGGGAAGAAGCGAAAGUGACGGUACCUGCAGAAAAAGCACCGGCUAACUACGUGCCAGCAGCCGCGGUAAUACGUAGGGUGCAAGCGUUGUCCGGAAUUAUUGGGCGUAAAGAGCUCGUAGGCGGUUUGUCGCGUCUGCUGUGAAAACCCGAGGCUCAACCUCGGGCCUGCAGUGGGUACGGGCAGACUAGAGUGCGGUAGGGGAGAUUGGAAUUCCUGGUGUAGCGGUGGAAUGCGCAGAUAUCAGGAGGAACACCGAUGGCGAAGGCAGAUCUCUGGGCCGUAACUGACGCUGAGGAGCGAAAGCAUGGGGAGCGAACAGGAUUAGAUACCCUGGUAGUCCAUGCCGUAAACGUUGGGAACUAGAUGUGGGGACCAUUCCACGGUCUCCGUGUCGCAGCUAACGCAUUAAGUUCCCCGCCUGGGGAGUACGGCCGCAAGGCUAAAACUCAAAGGAAUUGACGGGGGCCCGCACAAGCGGCGGAGCAUGCGGAUUAAUUCGAUGC
RNAcentral lists this ribosomal RNA (940 nucleotides) under uncultured bacterium. RNAcentral describes it as "bacterial SSU rRNA". It matches the Rfam family "Bacterial small subunit ribosomal RNA", at positions 1 to 957 of the family's 1533-position model. The record is from RNAcentral.